GCUGGCGGCAAUCUUGGAUAAUGGAUCGGCUACAAAGUAACAACACUUGGUCAGCACCACAUUAGGAACAUUCAUGCCAUGUUUGAUUUCAUUCCAUUCAGUGGUUCUCUAAAAGAAGUCAUUUGUAUGCAUUUCCCAUAGGGUCCUAUGUUAAACUAAGUCCCACGCUGGCGGCCAUCUUGGAUGAUGGAUAGGCUACAAAGUAACAACACUUGGUCAGCACCACAUAAGGAACAUUCAUGCCAUGUUUGGUUUCA
This 257-nucleotide long non-coding RNA is filed under the name Mytilus galloprovincialis (Mediterranean mussel). The record is from RNAcentral. Lineage: Eukaryota; Metazoa; Mollusca; Bivalvia; Mytilida; Mytilidae.